CCAGACUCCUACGGGAGGCAGCAGUGGGGGAUAUUGCACAAUGGGGGGAACCCUGAUGCAGCGACGCCGCGUGGGUGAAGGAGCGUUUCGGCGCGUAAAGCCCUAUCGGCAGGGAAGAAGCAAGACGGUACCUGACUAAGAAGCCCCGGCUAACUACGUGCCAGCAGCCGCGGUAAUACGUAGGGGGCAAGCGUUAUCCGGAUUCACUGGGUGUAAAGGGAGCGUAGACGGCCAUGCAAGCCUGGAGUGAAAGCCCGGGGCCCAACCCCGGGACUGCUCUGGGAACUGUGCGGCUGGAGUGCGGGAGGGGCAGGCGGAAUUCCUGGUGUAGCGGUGAAAUGCGUAGAUAUCAGGAGGAACACCGGCGGCGAAGGCGGCCUGCUGGACCGCGACUGACGUUGAGGCUCGAAAGCGUGGGGAGCAAACAGGAUUAGAUACCCCCGUAA
RNAcentral lists this ribosomal RNA (446 nucleotides) under uncultured bacterium. Its description in RNAcentral is "bacterial SSU rRNA". It matches the Rfam family "Bacterial small subunit ribosomal RNA", at positions 331 to 793 of the family's 1533-position model. The record is from RNAcentral.